GACGAACGCUGGCGGCGUGCUUAACACAUGCAAGUCGAACGGAAAGGCCCUGCUUUUGUGGGGUGCUCGAGAGGCGAACGGGUGAGUAACACGUGAGUAACCUGCCCUUGACUUUGGGAUAAAUUCAGGAAACAGGGGCUAAUACCGGAUAGGAGCUACUGCUGCAUGGUGGGGGUUGGAAAGAUUCGGCGGUUGGGGAUCGGCUCGCGGCUUAUCAGCUUGUUGGUGAGGUAGUGGCUUACCAAGUCUGUGACGGAUAGCCGGCCUGAGAGGGUGACCGGCGACAUUGGGACUAAGAGACGGACCAGACUGGUACGUGAGGCAGCAGUGGGGAGUAUUGCGGAAUGGGCGGAAGCCAGAUGCAGCAACGCCGCGAGCGGGAUACUGGGUUUCGGGUGGUAAACCGCUGUCGACGGUGACAAGGCGGUAGUGACGGUAAUGGGUAAGGAAGCACCGGCUAACUACGUG
This 468-nucleotide ribosomal RNA is filed under the name uncultured bacterium. Its description in RNAcentral is "partial 16S ribosomal RNA". It matches the Rfam family "Bacterial small subunit ribosomal RNA", at positions 28 to 507 of the family's 1533-position model. The record is from RNAcentral.